GAUGAACGCUGGCGGCGUGCCUAAUACAUGCAAGUCGAGCGAACAGAUGAGGAGCUUGCUCCUCUGACGUUAGCGGCGGACGGGUGAGUAACACGUGGAUAACCUACCUAUAAGACUGGGAUAACUUCGGGAAACCGGAGCUAAUACCGGAUAAUAUAUUGAACCGCAUGGUUCAAUAGUGAAAGACGGUUUUGCUGUCACUUAUAGAUGGAUCCGCGCCGCAUUAGCUAGUUGGUAAGGUAACGGCUUACCAAGGCGACGAUGCGUAGCCGACCUGAGAGGGUGAUCGGCCACACUGGAACUGAGACACGGUCCAGACUCCUACGGGAGGCAGCAGAAGGGAAUCUUCCGCAGUGGGCGAAAGCCUGACGGAGCAACGCCGCGUGAGUGAUGAAGGUCUUCGGAUCGUAAAACUCUGUUAUUAGGGAAGAACAAAUGUGUAAGUAACUAUGCACGUCUUGACGGUACCUAAUCAGAAAGCCACGGCUAACUACGUG
RNAcentral lists this ribosomal RNA (497 nucleotides) under uncultured bacterium. RNAcentral's name for it is "partial 16S ribosomal RNA". It matches the Rfam family "Bacterial small subunit ribosomal RNA", at positions 28 to 507 of the family's 1533-position model. The record is from RNAcentral.